GGCUAUACCGGCUUAUCAAAGCCUGAUCUUGUGAGAUCUCAGCUAAGUAGGGCAGGGCCUGGUUAGUAUUGGAUAGGAGACCACUCAGAAUACCAGGUGUC
This 101-nucleotide ribosomal RNA is filed under the name Periophthalmus magnuspinnatus. The record is from RNAcentral. Lineage: Eukaryota; Metazoa; Chordata; Actinopteri; Gobiiformes; Gobiidae.